RNAcentral lists this transfer RNA (75 nucleotides) under Methylorubrum thiocyanatum. RNAcentral's name for it is "tRNA-Ser". The record is from RNAcentral. Lineage: Bacteria; Pseudomonadati; Pseudomonadota; Alphaproteobacteria; Hyphomicrobiales; Methylobacteriaceae.
GCGCCGUAGCGCAGGAAGGACAGCACGUCGGCCUCGAAGGCCGGCAGGCCGGCGAUCCAGUACACCGCCGGGGCC